RNAcentral lists this ribosomal RNA (498 nucleotides) under uncultured bacterium. RNAcentral's name for it is "partial 16S ribosomal RNA". It matches the Rfam family "Bacterial small subunit ribosomal RNA", at positions 29 to 523 of the family's 1533-position model. The record is from RNAcentral.
AUUGAACGCUGGCGGCAUGCUUUACACAUGCAAGUCGAACGGUAACAGGCCGCAAGGUGCUGACGAGUGGCGAACGGGUGAGUAAUGCAUCGGAACGUGCCCAGUCGUGGGGGAUAACGCAGCGAAAGCUGCGCUAAUACCGCAUACGAUCUCUGGAUGAAAGCGGGGGACCGAAAGGCCUCGCGCGAUUGGAGCGGCCGAUGUCAGAGUAGGUAGUUGGUGGGGUAAAGGCCCACCAAGCCAACGAUCUGUAAGUGGUCUGAGAGGCCGACCAGCCACACGGGGACUGAGACACGGCCCAGACGCCUACGGGAGGCAGCAGUGGGGAAUUUUGGACAAGGGGCGCAAGCCUGAUCCUGCAAUGCCGCGUGCAGGAAGAAGGCCUUCGGGUUGUAAACUGCUUUUGUACGGAACGAAACGGUCCGGGCUAAUACCCUGGGCUAAUGACGGUACCGUAAGAAUAAGCACCGGCUAACUACGUGCCAGCAGCCGCCGUAA